Molecule: ribosomal RNA, 437 nt
Filed under: uncultured Pedomicrobium sp.
Lineage: Bacteria; Pseudomonadati; Pseudomonadota; Alphaproteobacteria; Hyphomicrobiales; Hyphomicrobiaceae
Description: bacterial SSU rRNA
Rfam family: Bacterial small subunit ribosomal RNA
Source: RNAcentral
AGAGUUUGAUCAUGGCUCAGAACGAACGCUGGCGGCAGGCCUAACACAUGCAAGUCGAACGCUCGUAGCAAUACGGGAGUGGCGCACGGGUGAGUAACGCGUGGGCACCUGCCCGGUGGUUUGGGAUAACCGUGGGAAACUGCGGCUAAUACCGGAUACGCCCCUAGGGGGAAAGAUUUAUCGCCAUCGGAUGGGCCCGCGUAGGAUUAGCUAGUUGGUGAGGUAACGGCUCACCAAGGCGACGAUCCUUAGCUGGUCUGAGAGGAUGAUCAGCCACACUGGGACUGAGACACGGCCCAGACUCCUACGGGAGGCAGCAGUGGGGAAUAUUGGACAAUGGGGGCAACCCUGAUCCAGCCAUGCCGCGUGAGUGAAGAAGGCCUUCGGGUUGUAAAGCUCUUUUGGCGGGGACGAUGAUGACGGUACCCGCAGAUAGC